GACGAACGCUGGCGGCGUGCUUAACACAUGCAAGUCGAACGGAAAGGCCCCCUUGUGGGGUACUCGAGUGGCGAACGGGUGAGUAACACGUGAGUAACCUACCCUUGACUUUGGGAUAACUUCAGGAAACUGGGGCUAAUACCGGAUAGGAGCUCCUGCUGCAUGGUGGGGGUUGGAAAGUUUCGGCGGUUGGGGAUGGACUCGCGGCUUAUCAGCUUGUUGGUGGGGUAGUGGCUCACCAAGGCUUUGACGGGUAGCCGGCCUGGGAGGGUGACCGGCCACAUUGGGACUGGGAUGCGGCCCAGACUGCUACGGGAGGCAGGAGUGGAGGAUAUUGCACAAAGGGCGGAAGCCUGAAGCAGGAACGCCGCGUGCGAGAUGACGGCCUUCGGGUUGUAAACCGCUUUCGCCUGUGACGAAGCGUGAGGGACGGUAAUGGGUAAAGAGGCACCGGCUAACUACGU
RNAcentral lists this ribosomal RNA (464 nucleotides) under uncultured bacterium. RNAcentral's name for it is "partial 16S ribosomal RNA". It matches the Rfam family "Bacterial small subunit ribosomal RNA", at positions 28 to 506 of the family's 1533-position model. The record is from RNAcentral.